This is a small nucleolar RNA of Gossypium raimondii (Peruvian cotton), 107 nucleotides long. It matches the Rfam family "Plant small nucleolar RNA R71". From Rfam's summary of the family: R71 is a member of the C/D box family of snoRNAs containing the C (UGAUGA) and D (CUGA) box motifs. Multiple nearly identical copies of this snoRNA have been identified in Arabidopsis, and it is thought to function as a 2'-O-ribose methylation guide for 18S ribosomal RNA. NCBI's taxonomy places the organism in Eukaryota, Viridiplantae, Streptophyta, Magnoliopsida, Malvales, Malvaceae. The record is from Rfam.
AUUCCAUGAUGAGGGCACUUUUAUAAUAAUUCUUUGUACCUUUCCCAUGUCUCAUACAAGGACUCAUCAUUCAUUUGUUAGAAAGUAGUGAUCUCAUUCCUCAACUU